This 604-nucleotide ribosomal RNA is filed under the name Stenotrophomonas sp. CE4. Its description in RNAcentral is "bacterial SSU rRNA". It matches the Rfam family "Bacterial small subunit ribosomal RNA", at positions 67 to 659 of the family's 1533-position model. The record is from RNAcentral. Lineage: Bacteria; Pseudomonadati; Pseudomonadota; Gammaproteobacteria; Lysobacterales; Lysobacteraceae.
CGGCAGCACAGGAGAGCUUGCUCCCUGUGGUGGCGAGUGGCGGACGGGUGAGGAAUACAUCGGAAUCUACUCUGUCGUGGGGGAUAACGUAGGGAAACUUACGCUAAUACCGCAUACGACCUACGGGUGAAAGCAGGGGACCUUCGGGCCUUGCGCGAUUGAAUGAGCCGAUGUCGGAUUAGCUAGUUGGCGGGGUAAAGGCCCACCAAGGCGACGAUCCGUAGCUGGUCUGAGAGGAUGAUCAGCCACACUGGAACUGAGACACGGUCCAGACUCCUACGGGAGGCAGCAGUGGGGAAUAUUGGACAAUGGGCGCAAGCCUGAUCCAGCCAUACCGCGUGGGUGAAGAAGGCCUUCGGGUUGUAAAGCCCUUUUGUUGGGAAAGAAAUCCAGCUGGCUAAUACCCGGUUGGGAUGACGGUACCCAAAGAAUAAGCACCGGCUAACUUCGUGCCAGCAGCCGCGGUAAUACGAAGGGUGCAAGCGUUACUCGGAAUUACUGGGCGUAAAGCGUGCGUAGGUGGUCGUUUAAGUCCGUUGUGAAAGCCCUUGGGCUCACCUGGGAACUGCAGUGGAUACUGGGCGACUAAAGUGUGGUACAGGGU